UGGGGAAUCUUCCGCAAUGGACGAAAGUCUGACGGAGCAACGCCGCGUGAGUGAAGAAGGUUUUCGGAUCGUAAAACUCUGUUUUCAGGGAAGAAUGUGCUGAUCGUGAAUAAUGGUUGGUAAUGACGGUACCUGACAAGAAAGCCACGGCUAACUACGUGCCAGCAGCCGCGGUAAUACGUAGGUGGCAAGCGUUGUCCGGAAUUAUUGGGCGUAAAGCGCGCGCAGGUGGGAUAAUAAGUCUGAUGUUAAAGUUCGGGGCUCAACCCCGUGAAGCAUUUGGAUACUGUUAUUCUUGAGUGCAGGAGAGGAAAGUGGAAUUCCUAGUGUAGCGGUGAAAUGCGUAGAUAUUAGGAGGAACACCAGUGGCGAAGGCGACUUUCUGGACUGUGUCUGACACUGAGGCGCGAAAGCCAGGGUAGUGAACG
RNAcentral lists this ribosomal RNA (428 nucleotides) under uncultured Pelosinus sp. RNAcentral describes it as "bacterial SSU rRNA". It matches the Rfam family "Bacterial small subunit ribosomal RNA", at positions 355 to 774 of the family's 1533-position model. Lineage: Bacteria; Bacillati; Bacillota; Negativicutes; Selenomonadales; Sporomusaceae. The record is from RNAcentral.